GACGUCCCCUGACCGCGUAUGAAAGUACGUUUUCACCCUCGGGUGACAGGGAGACAGGUGGUGCAUGGUUGUCGUCAGCUCGUGUCGUGAGAUGUUGGGUUAAGUCCCGCAACGAGCGCAACCCCUACGUUUAGUUGCUAACGCGUGAAGGCGAGCACUCUAGACGAACUGCCGUUGACAAAACGGAGGAAGGUGGGGAUGACGUCAAAUCAUCAUGCCCCUUAUGUUCUGGGCUACACACGUGCUACAAUGGCCGGUACAGACGGAGGCGAAGCCGCGAGGCGGAGCAAAUCCGAAAAAGCCGGUCUCAGUUCGGAUUGCAGGCUGCAAUUCGCCUGCAUGAAGUCGGAAUCGCUAGUAAUCGCAGGUCAGCAUACUGCGGUGAAUACGUUCCCGGGCCUU
This 402-nucleotide ribosomal RNA is filed under the name uncultured Pelotomaculum sp. RNAcentral describes it as "bacterial SSU rRNA". It matches the Rfam family "Bacterial small subunit ribosomal RNA", at positions 983 to 1382 of the family's 1533-position model. Lineage: Bacteria; Bacillati; Bacillota; Clostridia; Eubacteriales; Desulfotomaculaceae. The record is from RNAcentral.